This 15566-nucleotide long non-coding RNA is filed under the name Prunus persica (peach). RNAcentral's name for it is "long non-coding RNA (PPER_LNC005023)". The record is from RNAcentral. Lineage: Eukaryota; Viridiplantae; Streptophyta; Magnoliopsida; Rosales; Rosaceae.
GGAGCUGCAGAUAGUUCGGGCCAAGACGGUGCCUCUGAGUAUCAGAAUAGGAGAAGAUUCGAGUUUGGAGCAACUUAUCAUCUGAAUAGUAGACACCAGGGACAACAAUGGCAGGGCAAAAUGCAAGUUGUUCAUUCUCUGCAAAGAAGUUAUCAAUGUUUUUAUUCAGAACCAGACGGCCAACUGGCUGCAGAGGAAGAAUAUCUUCAGGCCAGGUCUUAGUUACAUCAAGUGGAUCAAAGUCAAAUCUGUCCUCAUGAUUGGGAUCAAUUGUCUGAAUAUAAAGUUUCCACUCAGGGUAGUUGCCAGCUGCAAUGGAAUCAUAGAGAUCCUUGGUAGCAUGGCUGUGAUUAGCUCCUCCAACCUUAAUAGCUUCAUCCUCCAACAAACACUUGACUCCACACGUAGGUUUCCAAUGAAAUUUCACAUACUGUACUUUCCCCGCCUUAUUGAUAAGGGUAUAGGUGUUAACACCAGAGCCUUCCAUGUGCCUGUAAUCUUGUGGAACUCCCAGAUCAUCAAAUAGGAAGGUGAACAUGUGCAGGCUUUCUGGGUGGUGGGAGAAGAAGUCAAGGAUCCUCCAAGGCUCUUGAAUGUGCGACUUGGGGUUCGGUUUGAGAGCAUGGACCAUGUCCGGGAAUUUCAUUCCGUCACGAACAAAAAAGACAGGGAAAUUGUUUCCAACCAGGUCAAAAUUACCCUGUGUUUAAGAACAAAGUCGCCACAUGAGUACUAACAACACAGCAAAAUAAACCUGAAUAAAGUUGUAUAUAGUGAAUAAUAAUGUUACCAAGAAAUCAACCAUCUGUAUAAGCAUCUAGAUUACAGAUGGUAUGCUACAUGAGCAAUCUUUUACAGCCAGGUGACUACCCCCAUUAGUAAACGAAAAUGAAAAGGCAAAGAAAAGAAAGGAAUGAAUGCAAUCUUUCAUCAAAGUCACAAGACUGCAUAAUUUCCAACAACUAUAAUUAGUCAAAUAUGAAUUGAGUACUUCAUAUUUUGUCACCACAGCCACCUCAGCUGCCACUACAGACACCAAUACAUAUCCACUAAAUAUGCCUAUGCUAUUGAAAAUAAAAAUAAAAUUAACACAUUGAUAAUAUAAAGGUAAAAACCUCACCUCUCUGGUGUAAAACUUCACUGCAAAACCACGAGGAUCCCUCAGGGUUUCAGGGCUGCCACGCUCAUGGAUAACAGUGGAGAAACGCACAAUGACAGGUGUCUGAACACCGGGGGCUCGAAGGAAGUCAGCACAUGUAAGCUGAGAAAUAUCAUGAGUGACCUCGAAGAAUCCCUUCGCACUGGCUCCCCUAGCAUGGACAACACGCUCUGGGAUUCGUUCUCUAUCAAAGUUGGCAAGUUUCUCCACCAGAUGAUAGUCCUCAAGGAGAAUUGGGCCUGACAAAUAGACACAGAAAUUUAAUUCGGAACUGCACCGACUCAACUCACCAUAUUUAAGCAUCUAGAUUACAUGCAAAUAUAGGAUAAAAAUGAAAUUAGUUGUUAUACAUUCCAGAACAUCAAAUAAAGAUGAUUGCUGCUCAGUUGCAAAUAUUCGUAAUUUUUAUUUACAUUUAGAAGGUAGGUUUUCAGACAACCAGAUGAUCAAAAAACCCAUCUUGACAAACCAAAAGGAGGCUGGAGGAAUUAAAAGAGAACCAACAGUGCGGGAGAAUCAUUUUUCAACUAAAGUAAGCAUAAAAUUUUAAAAUAAAUGUCAAUAGGAAAAGGAUCAGCUUCAAAUACAAGAUAUAUAAGUAUAUAUACAUAUCUUAAAUCCCACAAGCGUUUCCAAAGAUUAAUCAUCCUCAACAUGGUAGUGGUGGGAAUAACAUCCAAAAAGCAGUUUACAGCUCAUAAUCACAUGAAUAUCAAAAUCUUGUUCAGAAAAGUUGAGAAAACCAUCACAAAAAUUCAAAACCCAGGUAAGCGAAGAACCAAUGAUAACAAAGAUGAAUAUAUACACACAAAUAGUGAAUAGCAUCAUAAGAUAGAUUGAACAUGAAGCGCAACUAAAAAAACAAUAAAAUAUAAAAUAUAAACUGUGUUGCAAUUGAAAAGCCAGCAUCAAUCAACGAAGAGUUGUGAUGAAUUACCUCUAGAUCCAACAGUCAAAGAAGAGUUGUUGUUCCAAACAGGAGCACCGGAGUUUGUGGUCCAGAAUGGGGAAUCAAAAGCACUUGAAGGGCGGUACUGCAACAUACACAACGAAAACGAAACAAGACCAUGAUGAGCUAAAAGAACAACAAACACAAAAUUUCGAGCUACGCUUAAAUGACCAAUCUGAUUGAUCAAGAAGAUUAAUUCAUCAAGAAAUCAAACUUAAACAAAUCAAGAGAUAUUAUAACAGGGAAAUGAGUACCUUGUAAGGAUCCAUGGAGAAAGAGGGGGAAGGAGGAGUUUGAUAAGAAGGUGAGAGAGCAGAGCAAAGCCACCCAAAGGGAGGGUCGUGUGGCAAAUGAGAAUCGAAGAGCGAAAUGUGAAAUUGGGGAAUUUAUAAACACUUGCGGGUCGUGGGCGUGGCUCGCGCUUCUGCGCAAAUUACCAAUCUCAGCAGGUUAUCUUUAUCCACACACAGAGUGGGAGGUCAAGAGAAGAGAAGACAUAUCUUUGCCAAUUUAGCGUCGCGAGUCAGAACGAUUCUCGCCAAACCUGUCAACGAAGCAUUCUUGUAUGCACAAUUGUGGCAAAACGUCCUUCACUCACUUCAAAUCUUUUACAACCAAUUUUAUGAGGAGGGAUUUUUUUACAAAAAAAAUAAAAAAUUAUACAAUUUUAUGAGGAGAUGGUAUGCAACAAAAAAACAGAGGGGAUUCAGAUUUUUUUUUUUUAAUGGAAAUUAUUGUCCAAAAACAAAAGAAACAUUGAAGAAAUUGAGAGUUCAAUUUAAAAGUAAAAGAGAUCAUUAAAAUGAGUAAAAGAGACUAGAAACACCAUAAUUGACUGUGUAAUUAUAAAAUAUAUGGAGUCGUUUUUUUAUUUUUCAAAUUUUGUGAACAUAUUAUCCCUAAAUAAUGAACACAAAAAUUGAUUUAAAUAUAAUGUUGGUGUUGAUUGCAAUUAAUAAUAGCUAACUAUAGAGAUUUGAUUGAAACAAUUAAAACAUUUCACCACGACAACAAGGUCAAGAAUGCAAGUUGUUUAUUAUUAUGAAUUGGUUUCAAGACGAACAAUUUAACAACAAAUUCCAAACCUCUAUAUUUAGGAUUCAUGCAUUUAUCUACAUUUUAUGAAACUAAGUUGCUCAAAUAAUCUAACCAUUUAACAUGACACAUCAUCAAUUUUUAACCUAAGAUUUUUUUAAAAAAAAAUUGAAGUUAAUUUUAAAGUUAACGUGCUUGAGGGGUUUUUUUUUUCAUCAUGCUUCCUCCUUGAGAAAACUGUGAAUAAAAUUAAUUAAUUGCUACUUAUCUUCAGCUUAUAUAUUGAACCCUAAAGCAUAAAGCGAACUUCAAAACUUUAAUUUUUUGGCCACACAAACUUGAGCAAAGUAUGUCUUAUCUUUUUCACAAGAUUAUUCACUCUCAUUCUAAAUUCAUCGUGAUAUGUUAAGAAAUAACAAGUUUCACGAUGAACUAAAAAAGAACUCUCAAGCACGUUAACAUUAACGUUAGCAUAAGUUUUUGGAAAGAACGAAAAAGACCUUAAUUUAAAGAUUGAUGAUAUGUCAUAUGAAUGGUUAAAUUAUUUAGUUUAAAUUUUACGAAAUAUAAAUAAAUACACGGAUUCUAAAUAUAGAAAUUUGAUAUUCAUUUGCCAUAAAUAUCACUUUAAGAGUGAAAAUCCAGAAUACUAAACUAAAAUUAUAUUUCUUCACAAAAAUUGCAUCUAAAGAUGAGGAUAAAUUGAUGUUCAUCCGGACAUUGAAAAAGCACAAUAUAUCGUGAAGAUAUUCGAUAUAUUGAAAACCUCGCCGAUAUUCAUGUAGGAAGGCUAAACGAUUUUUUUAUGGCAAAAACUUCAACAACAACAACAAAAAAAGAGGCCUGGAAAAUUAUUAUUAUCAUAAUCGUGGUGGGAAUUCAAAAUUGAAAAUAAUUGAGAACGUCAUGCAUUCAUCGUUCGUUAUCCAGGUCUUGGAGCUUUGCUAACACCUAGGCGCAACCACUUAAGGCAGUGGCGGGUAUGGGUGACGUGGUCCACUCACAAGACGCCACGACCACCAAAGUGUACCUUGAAACGCGUGCUCUUAGAAAAUAGCACAGAGAUUCUCUCUCUCAGGGGAUAUGCUUGAAAUUUAUGAACAAAACAGAAGGAAAAAUAAAAACAAACAAGAGGCUAUUUUUGGUGUUGUCUGUGUGAAAGCCGCCAAAACAGCAAAUAUGCUGAUAAGGUUAGAAUGGGCCGAGCUCAGAUUAGCCACAAAGACUGUUCCUCUCUGGGCCCACUUAUCAAUAUUUUAACAUUUUUUUUAAUGGAGCUCGACAAUGAACAAAUUUUGAAGGUAAUUACUUGAUGUUAGUUAGAGAACCUCUAUGUCUAAGGGAACUACGAGUUCAAGGAAGCUUUGAGGUAUGCUCAUGUGACCCUACUUCUUGUUCUUUAUGCAUAAACAUAUUCAAGUUGCAUGUUCAAGGCUUGCCAUCUAAUCAUUAUAUAAUAUUUUGAUCAUCUAUUAUAAAAAUAUAAAAAAAACUAUGUAACUGGGCCUUGGUGCAAUAAGAACUUAAGCAUUAGCUUCAUGUAUGUAGGAAAAGUAGCAAAUAAUUUCAAUUGUAAAAUGAAUGCUUUGGUUUCUUUUCUUGUUAAUGCCGUUUGACUGGUUGUUUUGUCUUAGUGGUUCUUUGACCUCUCUUUGGUCUUUUUAUUGAAAGUUAUGUUGAGAAACUGAAAUUAACUUAAACGUAAAAGGAUUUUUUGAGUAAACAUAUUUCACAGCAUAAGAAUACUGCAGUUUUCCUCUCUUAUAUAUAUCUGAAAAACAAAGCUUACAAAAUAACAAUCUCCACAAUAACCACUAACACACAAGUGCAGAUUUUGUGGAGUUCAACUACCUUAAGCAACGGAAGCAAAUUUGAACGUGGUGAACAGACUAAACCACAACUUCUACAUUCUAGGACUUCAGCUUGACUUGGUCUCUACAUGGCCAUGUCAGCAUUAUUUAAUUAAAAAACUAAUUAAACUUAACUAAAUAACUUUUAACACCCUCCCUUAAACUGAUUUUUACGAAAAACAGUUUAGGAUCUCUACACCAUCACAUAAUCAUCUUCCUGUUCAAUGCUUUGAAAUGAACAAACUCCCAACAUGCUUCUCAGCUUCUCAAGCGCAGGUACCAUCACAUAAUCAUCUUCCUGUUCAAUGCUUUGAAAUGAACAAACUCCCAACAUGCUUCUCAGCUUCUCAAACGCAGGUUGCUUCAAAGGCUUAGUUAAGAUGUCUGCAACCUGCUCCCCACUCUUGCAAUAUUCAAGUACAAUCUUCCCAUCACUGCACAGGUCACGCAAAAAAUGAAAACGUACAUCAAUGUGUUUACUUCUCCCAUGCAUGACUGGAUUCCUCGAUAGCUUUAUAGUUGACAUGUUGUCGCAGUAGAUGGUUGUUGGUCCCUUUUGAACAUCACCAAGCACUUCAAAUAUUUUCCUAAGCGACAUAGCUUGACAGGAGCUUGCAGCUGCUGCUACAUAUUCAGCUUCUGUUGAGGAAAGUGUCACAAUUUGUUGCUUCUUUGAGGACCACGAUAUUGCACCAGAGUUGAGCAGAAAUGUGUGACCGGAAGUGCUCUUACGAUCAUCUAUAUCACCUGCAUAGUCACUAUCUGUGUACCCAACAAAACCAGAACCAUCUUCCCUUUUAUAAAACACACCAUAAUCAAUUGUCCCCUUUACAUACCUGAGAAUUCUCUUUGCUGCAUUGAGAUGCAUUUCAGUUGGUUUUUCCAUAUAUCGGCUCACAAGACUCACUGCAUACAUGAUGUCAGGCCUCGUGUAUGUUAAAUACAUGAGACUCCCAAUUAUCUGUUUAUAGAAAGUGCUGUCAACCUCCUUUCCACCUUUGUCUUUGCAUAGCUUUAAGCCAUGUUCAGCUGGAGUUCCAAAUGGCUUGCAGUCAUCCAUCUGAAACCUGUUAAGAAUGUCCUGUGCAUAUUUUUUCUGGUAGAUGAAAUUACCAGCAGUAGUUUGAAUGACUUCCAAUCCAAGAAAAUAGUGCAUUAAUCCUAGAUCAGUCAUUUCAAACUCCAUCAUCAUAGACUUCUUGAAUUCAUCAAACAUUUUAGCAUCACUUCCAGUGAAUAUCAAGUCAUCAACAUACAAGCAUACCAUGAGUAUUUUACCUUCUUCCUCAGUCUUGACAUAAAGUGUGUGCUCAAAAGGACAUUUGUGAAAUCCAAGCUUAGCAAAGUGAGCAUCUAUGCGACUGUACCAAGCUCGAGGUGCUUGUUUCAGUCCAUAGAGUGUUUUCUUCAGUUUGAACACCUUCUCUUCUUCUCCUUUUCUCUCAUAACCAGGUGGUUGAUCAAUGUACACCUCCUCUUGCAGGUUUCCAUGCAGGAAUGCUGACUUCACGUCUAACUGAAAAAUUUGCCAGGAAUUUUGAGCUGCAAGAGAGAUCACUAACCUAAUCGUGUCGUGCCUCGCAACUGGGGCAAACACCUCUUUGUAAUCAAUGCCAUGCUUCUGCUUGUAGCCCUUAGCUACCAAACGAGCUUUGUGCUUGUCAACCUCACCUUUUUCGUUCAACUUUGUUCUAAACACCCAUUUAACACCAAUGGUUUGCUUUCCCUUUGGAAGAUCAGUUAACUCCCAGGUUUGAUUCUUCUCAAUGGACUUGAUUUCAUUGUCCAUUGCUUCCCUCCAUUUCUCCUCUUUAACAGCCUCAGUAUAUGUGAUUGGAUCACUAUCUACAAGUAAUGCAAAGUGAGCAUUUUCAUCAUCAGAACUUGAAUAACUUACAUCGUAGUCCAUCAUCCAUGCUGGCCUCUUCCUUGAGUUCUCAUCUCUCAAAUUGUAUCUCUCUUCUUCAAACUGUUGAGAUGACUGAACUUCAAGUUGAGGUGGCUGCUGGGCUUGAGUUUCAGGAGCUGCUACCUCUUCAUUGUCUAAAUCAUCAUAAACUGGAAUUUGUUGUUGAACCGAUCUGUUCUCAGACCAAUUCCACAUAGUGUCUUCAUCAAAUAUCACAUCCCUGCUUACCACUAUCUUCUUUGUAACUGGAUUGUACAGUUUGUAUGCUUUUGAGACUUCACUUACACCAAGAAAAACACAUUUUUCACUUUUGUCAUCCAACUUCUUUCUUUUCUCAUCGGGGAUGUGUGCAUAUGCUAUGCACCCAAACACCCUAAAGUGAUCAACCGCAGGCUUCAAUCCACUCCAAGCUUCUUGAGGAGUCAUAUUCUUAACAGAAAAUGUGGGACUUCUGUUUAAAAUAUGAACUGACCAUAGCACAGCUUCAGGCCAAAACUUCUUGGGAAUUCUUCCUUUGACUAGCAGACUUCGAACCAUGUUGAGAAUGGUGCGAUUUUUCCUCUCACUUACACCAUUUUGUUGUGGUGUAUAGGCAGUGGUCAACUGUCUCUUGAUGCCUUUCUCUUUGCAAAAUGCAUCAAAUUCCUUCGAACAGUACUCUCCCCCACGGUCAGUUCUUAGAGUUUUAAUCUUCUUUUCUGAUUCAUUUUCAACUAGAGCUUUGAAGCUUUUGAAUGCUUCAAAUGCCUCUGAUUUUUCCUGCAAGAAAUAUACCCAUGUCUUUCUACUAAAAUCAUCAGUAAAGGAGAUGAAAUAUUUCUUGUUACCAUUUGAGAUGGGAUUUAUUGGUCCACAUAGAUCAGAGUGAACCAUCUCCAGGAUUUAUUGAGCCCUUGCUGCCUUGCCACUUGGAAAAGAGUCUCUUUUGUGCUUCCCAGUGAUGCAUUCUUCACACAUCUUUGAUGGAGGAGUUAUAUCAGGUAAGCCAGUGACCAUCCCUUUCUGGUGAAGUGUUCUCAAGCCAUUAAAAUUCAAAUGGCCAUAUCUGUAGUGCCAUCUCCACGGGUCAUCUUCUUUGGCAAAUAAGCAAGCCUGCAGAGUCUUGAUUUUCAAAGGAAACAAUCUGUUGGAAGACAUUUUCACAACAGCAAUGGACCCUCUUUUUGGGUCGUACACUUCCCACUCUCCUUUAUAGAUUGUAAUCCUAUAGCCUUUAUCUUGUAACUGACCAGCACUCAGCAAAUUUGUCUUCAAAUCAGGAAUAUAAAAAACAUUUGAGAUAGUUUCAAUAAAGUCAUUUUUAGUUUUGAUUUGAAUAUCUCCCUUACCCAUCACUUUCACUGUUGACUUGUCACCAAAACUCACUACCGUGUGAAAGCUUUCAUCCAAAUUAAUAAAGGAAGACUUACAUCCACUCAUGUGAUUGCUGCAGCCUGUGUCCACAUACCAUGUCUCCUGAUCAGUUUUUGUCAGUGCAUGAAAAGCCAUCAAAAGUGUCUCUUCCUCCUUCUUUUUCUCCACAAAAUUUGACUUUUCUCCUUUUUCUUUUGGUAACUUCGUGUAGCACUCAUUCUUGUAGUGCCCAAAAUUUCCACAUCUAUAACACUCCACUUUUGACUUAUCAAAGUGGUACGUUCCUUUUUCUUCAAAGUCAUCAUCUCUUUUGAAAACAUGAGAUGACUUGCUGUCAUCUCUAUGUCCAGACCGUCCACCUCCUCGAUGACCUCGACCACCUCUUCCUCUAUCACGUCCACCUCUUCCACGACCUCUUCCUCCUCGAGAACUUGAGGACUCAGAAACAAUGGAAGCUUUCAGAGCUGUUUGUUCUUCACUGGCAGUGGUGCGGUUAAGUCUUUGUUCAUGCACUAACAAAGAGCUUUGUAGUUCAUCAACUCGUAACUCAGCAACGUUCUUUGCCUCUUCAAUUGAACAGACAAUGUAGUCAAAUUUUGGAGUCAAUGAUCUCAUAAUUUUCUCCACAACUUUGACUUCUUCCAUGGUGCCACCAUUGGAUCUCAUCUUGCUUGCUAUUCCCAGAGUUCUAGCAAAGAAAUCAGUGAUGGACUCUCCUGAUUUCAUUUGUAAAGUUUCGAAGUCCCUUGUUAGAGUUUGAAGCACUGCACGCUUCACCCUCUCUGACCCUGCAUAUUUCUUCUUCAAAGAAUCCCAUAUUUGUUUGGAGGUCUCCUUCUCGAGUAUCGUCUCCAAGAUAGAUCGAUCAAGUGCCUGAAAAAGGUAAUUUUUCACCCUCAAGUCCUUCAGCUUCUGUUCAGCAACCCUCUUUUGUUGUUGUUCAGUCAACACAACUCCCUCUGCUGGGGCGUCAAUUCCUGAUUCCACAAGAUUCCAAUACUCCUUUGACCUGAGAAAAUUUUCCAUCAGCAUGCUCCAAUGGUCGUAGUGACCAUCAAAUCGUGGAAUCGCUGGUUGAAUAAAACUCUCAGUGGCUUUCUCUGUUGCCAUUGUUUCUUGCUGCUGCAAGACACAAUCUUUCACCUUUUUUUCAAGUUUGUUCAGGCCCAGAAGAGCUCUGAUACCAGAUGUUGAGAAACUGAAAUUAACUUAAACGUAAAAGGAUUCUUUGAGUAAACAUAUUUCACAGCAUAAGAAUACUGCAGUUUUCCUCUCUUAUAUACAUCUGAAAAACAAAGCUUACAAAAUAACAAUCUCCACAAUAACCACUAACACACAAGUGCAGAUUUUGUGGAGUUCAACUACCUUAAGCAACGGAAGCAAAUUUGAACGUGGUGAACAGACUAAACCACAACUUCUACAUUCUAGGACUUCAGCUUGACUUGGUCUCUACAUGGCCAUGUCAGCAUUAUUUAAUUAAAAAACUAAUUAAACUUAACUAAAUAACUUUUAACAAGUUAAUCAAAUAAAAUAAAAAUAAAACAACAAUUAGAAGGGUUGCAAUUAGAUAGGCUUGCUAGGCUCCAAGAGGUGCAAGACUGUCUUUUGAUUAAAGUUCAAGCUCCCAAGUCCAAAUUUGGGGCACCAACUAGCCUAUCUCAUUGCAGGCGCUUAACACUUGAAGGGACUGGCGCAAUGAUUUACUAGUAAAAUUUGUAAUAGCUUAAGACUUCGCUAGUAUCAUUUAGUAGUUACAAAUCACUUUACUUCGCCAGUAGUGAGUCCCAAUAUCGGCUGAAUUGCUCUUUCGCCAGUAUUAGUCUGUCGGUAUAAGCUAAAAUUGUAGUAGUGUAAGCUAAUUCUUGAUUUACUGUAAUUAUUCCCUUAUCGGUUAAAACUUCAAAUCAUCAAAGAAAAUCAAAGCACUCUCUAAGAAUUUCACCCUUUAAGAGUGCAUUGAGGCAAACCUAAAAAAAUUCUUCUUCAUCAUCAUCUUGUCACGCUUCCUGAAUCCACCAUAGGAGAUUUUAGUUUGGCCCUCUGGAUGUCCUCUUUUAGGUCUUUACGCACCGCUUCUUGGGGCUUAUCACUUGAGCUCCCAAAGAUCACUCUCUUAGCUUCAGCAAAACUUCCGUCGUGAUCUCGUUUGCGUUUCCCUAGGAUCUCCAAGGCCUCCAGCUGUUUUUGCAUCUCUUUAGAAUAAGAAGUUACCAUCUUUGAUAACUUUUCAUUUUCUGCCUGCAAUAUUUGAAGCUAGCGUUGAUUCUCCUCUGCUGUUUUUUCCUCUUUUUUUUUUUUUCAAUCUUUUGAUCUCACGCCGAUAUUCAUCAACCAAAUUCUGCUCUGCCACAACUAAGCUCUCAGUACUUGCACCUCAUAAGAUUUUGCAAUGAGGCGAUGCCCCACACUUGUGAUAGUUGUCGCAUUUUGCAAGCACAGUGCCACAACAUUGCUCACUAACCGGUUGUCAUCCCCCGUUCCUAGUAUGCAUACAUCCCUGGGAGUCACCAAACUCUUCGCAACUCCAAUGGCAACCUCGUUGUCAAGGAGUAACGAGUCGCUUUUUGUCACUGGUCCUCGUGAAGAAGCAAAGUAGGGUAUCCAGACUGGUGCAACUCCUUGCCCCUAUGUCUGUGUUGGCGGAGCUAGGUUAAGAUCCAAAGAAGAUGAGAAGGGAUACGACAUUUUCUUUCUGCUUUCUUUUUCUUUCAUUUUCUCUCUUUUCUCUUUCUUCUUUCCUUUCUCUUUUCUUUCUUUCUUUUCUCUCUUCUGCGUGGUUGUAAUUCUUCUUUUUCCUUUGUUUCCUUUAAUAGAUGAACCCUAGCACCAUUGCACCGUCUAAUUUUUCCGCAUUCCUUGAGCUCCACAGCCUUCUCGCUUUCCACCGUCUACAACUUUGUCGCGACUUGUGCAACGUCGUCCCUACUAUCCAUGGCACCCAUAAUUCCGCUUGUAGAUUUGUCGUACCUCUGCGCGUCGACACAUGUCUCCUCUCUCUAGGGGUGGGCAUUGGAUUUGUGGUUCAAAUUGAUUUAGGGUUGAUUAAAAUAAAAUGGCAGCCCUAGAAACAGUGACCAGGUAUCUAUCCCAUAUGACAUAAAACAUUUAAAAACAUCCAUGGGACUAUAUUUAAAAAAUCAACUUGAUAAUGUUUAGUUGGAUUGUAUAAUGUGUUUUGUUUUGUUUUGUUGGAUUAUAAAAUGUUUAAGUUUCUGUUUUUUUGUUUAUUUAUAAAAUCAUCCAUGGGACUUCAUUUUCGGUUCAAGGUUCCAUUUUUUUAAGAAACCAGUCCAAAUCGGACCAUGCCCACCCCUACCUCUCUGUCUCUUUUUUUGCUUUGUUUUCCUUCUCUCUCUCUCUCUCUCUCUCUCUCUCUCUCUCUCUCUCUCUCUCUCUCUCUCUUCCUUAUAUAUUCUCUCCUCUCUCUGUUUUUUUAUUUAAAUUUUUUCAAUUGUGAGUUUUGUAACAUGCAUGUUAUUUUAUUUAUGAACCCAUUACACGACUCCAAACUCACACAAAAAAAGACGACCCGAACCCAAGAAGACAUGUUUAUUAAAUGGGUUAGAUUCGGGUUGAGCAUUCUUGACACGUUUGUUAAUUGGAUUGGGUUAAAUAAAUCAAUGACAGCAUAAAAUGAACACAGGGUUUGUGAAAAAUGUGAUAUUUUCAAUGACUAUAUUAAUAAAUCUUUAUUUUUUGAGUAGUUAGAUUUUUGCACAAAGCUUACCUUCCUCAACUGAUAGCUGCAUUGAUCUUUUGUCUAGCUCAACGGCGUGUCUGCUAAGCUCAGAUGGUGAUAAUUGACGAAGCGCUGGCAACAUGAUGAACGAAGAGCAUUUUCAGUGCUGGCAAAACUAAAGGCAGAAAAAUUGUAUGAAAUUUUUUAAAUUGAAAGAGCAGUGCCAUAAUAAAAUGACCUACUCUGGAUCUAUUCUCUCUGAUCAGAAUCAUCAAAUUGCUUCAAGAGGUUCUUGAAAUGUAGAAACCCUUCUGUCCUUUGCUCAUCAUGGUUCUUCUCAGAACCAACCAAGUGAGGAACCAGAGAUUCAGGAGUGAAUCUAAGUUGCCUGGAAUGAGCAGCUGGCAAUCCAUUGGAACAGGUGGUUUACCAGGUGAAAAAUCUACCGGAGAAGCCAAGGGCAUUGGUGCGAACGCAGAUGUCUCAUGUUCCUGCUUCUUGGUUCUGUCUCUAGGUAGGUCUUGCUGCUUUUGCAAACAAUAUCGUUUGAAAUUGAGAGAGUAAGUAUUUUGUUCUCACACCUUUAACUCUUCGCUUGCCUAAUGCUGAAUCUAACUUCCUCGCACUACCACCAUGCAUGAGCUGAUCACUUGCACUGCUGAUGCUCGUGAAUUGGUGACAAGGGGAGCUCCGUGGCAACUCAGGGUUGAGUAUCUUAGUUCCCAAAACCUUAAUGGGAUGCGCGACUGGUCGUCCUAGAAAAACAUACUUGUUAGGGUUAGAGGUCCAUCGGAGUAGUCAUUAGCUGCUAAUCAACCCGAGAGAGAGAGAGAGAGAGAGAGAGAGAGAGAGAGAGAGAGAGAGAGAGAGAGAGAGAGAGCAAAGAAGAAAUGUGGGGCGUGUUUUUUUUUUCCUAAUCUUAUAAUUAAGCGUGUGUUUUCUAAAUCGGGGCAUGUGAGUUGUAUUAGUCGGGUAAUGAGAGUAUUAAAAACUUUCGUUUAAUAUAAUUCAGUAAUUAAGUAAUACAAGUUGACAUCAAACAAAUGACAUUGACUAUUUACUCAUAUCCAUAGUCUAAUACCAUGUACCAAACAUACCUAUACGAGCUUUUGCCACAUGACUCAUCUAACAUGACAAUCCAAGUCCACAAACACAAGCAUACACACUAAGACAGGACACUCAUAUGCAUGUGAACUACAAGAACGACUGCAUAAUAUCUUGUAUAGAAACAAGACAAUACAACCGGCGCUUAUUACAUUGGAACUACAGUUCACAUUACAUACCAAAUUUAGUAUAACACAGAUAGGAAUUCAAACAUUUGACUUGGCAUAACCCUCAAAUGCUUGGCCUCACAUUGAGACGGGAUAAAAGCUUUUGACCCAGAGACUUAUCUGCCUGCAUUGCCAAUACAAGCACAUAACAUCAGAACAACAUGGCUUAUUCUAAAACUAACCCUUCAUAUUCCAGUAUCACAUCAUCACGUUGCUUAACGGUACAAAUUCACAAAUGCAAUAAUUUAUAAAUAGACUCACCUGAGACCAGUAUGAGAUCCAAAUGCUGCGAAUCUCAUGGGUGACACGAGGGUCUGAUAGGGCAUCCACCCAUCGGCGGAUGAAUCGCUCUUGCCUGCAUGAAGAUGCAAGAUUAAGAACAAUGUUUAAAUACAAUUAUUUUCAUACAGAGACAUCACAGGGUUGCCAGGUACCUGUCUGGCGCCCAAGAUCUGUAUCUCUCUCCAGGUUGCUUAAAGUUGUUCUCCUUCUCAAUGACGCACUGAAUAACCAAAACAAAGUUCCCAUAUGAAUUAUUAUGUGCAGAAAACAAGGAAAAUCCAGAAAUGCAAUCGGUGCAUAUGUAUACACACACACACCUACACUAGUGUAUGUGCCCAGGUGACAGAAAAAGGGACACAGCUGGAAGAAAAGAUGAUGUACAGACGAGACGGGGAAACUAAGGUAUAUUAUUUAAAGCAAUAUUCCUCAAUUGAUAGAAACUGACCUUCUCACGCUUUCCAGAAAGGAUAUUAGAAGGAAUGGGGUAGCGCUCAGCAUGACGAACAGGAUCAUGCCUUGAAGGGAAGUAAUUAACCUGAAAAUAACAGUAUAGCAACUCAUCAGAGAAAACUCAAAUGAAUAAACAUGCAUACAAUUGGAGUUGUCCUCCCAGAAUAUUGAGCAAUCGAAGUAUACAAGGGCCAAAGCGAUUCCAUAUGAGACAUAACAAUUGAGUAAAAUAAUAAUACCUCCUCAUCCCUGUGCAUGAAAUUCAUGAAUCCCUCAUGAUGAUUGUUAUGAUGAGGACACUUGGGAGCAUUCACUGGGAGCUGCAGAUAGUUCGGGCCAAGACGGUGCCUCUGAGUAUCAGAAUAUGCGAAGAUUCGAGUUUGGAGCAUCUUAUCAUCUGAAUAGUAGAUACCAGGGACAACAUGGGCAGGGUUAAACGCAAGUUGUUCAUUCUCUGCAAAGAAGUUAUCGAUGUUUUUAUUCAGAACCAAACGGCCAACUGGCUGCAGGGGAAGGAUAUCUUCAGGCCAGGUCUUAGUUAAGUCAAGAGGGUCAAAGUCAAAUCUGUCCUCGUGAUCAGGAUCCAUUGUCUGAAUAUAAAGUUUCCACUCAGGGUAGUUGCCAGCUGCAAUGGAAUCAUAGAGGUCCUUGGUAGCAUGGCUGUGAUUAGCUCCUCCAACCUUAAUAGCUUCAUCCUCCAACAAACACUUGACUCCACAAGUAGGUUUCCAAUGAAAUUUCACAUAGUGUACUUUCCCUGCCUUACUGAUGAGGGUAUAGGCGUGAACACUAGAGCCUUCCAUGUGCCUGUAAUCUUGUGGAACUCCCAGAUCAUCAUAAAAGAAGGCGAACGUGUGCAGGCUUUCUGGAAGGUGGGAGAAGAAGUCAAGGAUCCUCCAAGUCUCUUGGAUGUGCGACUUGGGGUUCGGUUUGAAAGCACGGAUCGCGUCCGGGAAUUUCAUUGCAUCACGGACAAAAAAGACGGGGAAAUUGUUUCCAACCAGGUCAAAAUUACCCUGCGUUUAAGAAGAACAAAGUCACCACAUGAGUAAUUACUACACAGCAAAAUUAACCCGAAUAAAUUCGUAUAUGGUGAAUAAUGCUACAUGAGCAAUCUAUUACAGCCAGACGACUACCCCCUAUAAUUUAAAGGAAAAUGAAAAGGCAGAGCUAAGAAAGGAAUGAAUGCAAUCUUUCAUUAAAGUCACGAGACUGCAAGAUUUCCAAUAACUAUAAUUAGUCAAAUAUGACUUGAGUACUUCAGAUUUUGUCACCACAGCCACCUCAGCUGCCACUACAGAUACCAAUACAAAUCCAUUAAAUAUGCCUACACUAUUGAGAAAAUAAAUAAAACAUUGAUAAUAUAUAGGUAAAAACCUCACCUCUCUGGUGUAAAACUUCACUGCAAAACCACGAGGAUCCCUCAGGGUUUCAGGGCUGCCACGCUCAUGGAUAACAGUGGAGAAACGCACAAUGACAGGUGUCUGAACACCAGGGGCUCGAAGGAAGUCAGCACAAGUAAGCUGAGAAAUAUCAUGAGUGACCUCAAAGAAUCCCUUUGCACUGGCUCCCCUAGCAUGGACAACACGCUCUGGGAUUCGUUCUCUAUCAAAGGUGGCAAGUUUCUCC